Molecule: long non-coding RNA, 718 nt
Filed under: Nicotiana benthamiana
Lineage: Eukaryota; Viridiplantae; Streptophyta; Magnoliopsida; Solanales; Solanaceae
Description: long non-coding RNA (NBEN_LNC020399)
Source: RNAcentral
CCAAAUUCUAGGUAUUUCGUGAUUAGUCUAGUGUAGGGACAAAGACGGACAAAUCAGACAAGAGCACAACUCUGAAAAACACAAAGGAACUUAAAUUUUUCCGUGAAAACAUGCUGAGGGAAAGUACAGUAAAAGAAAAAAUAGAAGGAAAUAUAAUAGAAGAAACAUACAAGAAUCAAAGUAGGAACAAACAGGAGUCACAGUAGGACAAAUACAGUAAGAACACCUCACAAAAUCACAGUAGAACAAGUAAAAUCAGAGAAACCCUAAAUCGGAAAAGACGAAUAGUUUUGAAAGCAAACUUUUAAAAAAGAUUUAAGAAAAUCAUUUUGAAAACCUUGAAGAAUUUAUAGAUCUAGAGCGGAUCUAAAGAAAUAUAGAAAUACCUCGAAGGGCUAGGGUUUCAGAAGAACCCUAGAAGCGAGAAAGGCCUGGAAAAGGGUCUGCUCAGAGCCAGGUGAGUCAGAGAUAGGCUCAUAAGACCAGGACAUGCUGGAGAUGGCCGUGAAACUUAAAUCGGCGACUAACUGAGCAAAAACCUUCAAGGUCAGACCUUGAAUUCCCAGUAGCAUGCGUAUAAGAGCAUGUGGAGGUGAGUACAGGCUACCCAAGGCUUGAGGAUUCCAUGGAUUCUGAUGAAACAUGGUGGAAGAGAUGGGGGAGGGCUAGGGUUUUGGAGGGGCUAGAGAGAAUUGAGAUGAUGAGGGAUUGAUGGCGG